CCUACGGGAGGCAGCAGUGGGGAAUAUUGGACAAUGGGGGCAACCCUGAUCCAGCCAUGCCGCGUGUGUGAAGAAGGCCCUCGGGUUGUAAAGCACUUUCAGUGAGGAAGAACGCCUGGUGGUUAAUACCCAUCAGGAAAGACAUCACUCACAGAAGAAGCACCGGCUAACUCCGUGCCAGCAGCCGCGGUAAUACGGAGGGUGCGAGCGUUCAUCGGAAUUACUGGGCGUAAAGCGCGCGUAGGUGGCUUGAUAAGCCGGUUGUGAAAGCCCCGGGCUCAACCUGGGAACGGCAUCCGGAACUGUCAAGCUAGAGUGCAGGAGAGGAAGGUAGAGUUCCCGGUGUAGCGGUGAAAUGCGUAGAGAUCGGGAGGAAUAUCAGUGGCGAAGGAGUCCUUCUGGACUGACACUGACACUGAGGUGCGAAAGCGUGGGUAGCAAACCGGAUUAGAUACCCCAGUAGUC
Molecule: ribosomal RNA, 465 nt
Filed under: Vreelandella stevensii
Lineage: Bacteria; Pseudomonadati; Pseudomonadota; Gammaproteobacteria; Oceanospirillales; Halomonadaceae
Description: partial 16S ribosomal RNA
Rfam family: Bacterial small subunit ribosomal RNA
Source: RNAcentral